Molecule: long non-coding RNA, 1307 nt
Filed under: Helianthus annuus (common sunflower)
Lineage: Eukaryota; Viridiplantae; Streptophyta; Magnoliopsida; Asterales; Asteraceae
Description: hypothetical non coding rna
Source: RNAcentral
UUCUUUCUUUUAUUUCACAUCUCUCGUGAUACCCUCUCUCUCAAAAUUCUAUAUUCUAUUAUUUCACACAUAAUAAUAAUAAUAAAACCAUGCACCGUUUUAAGUGUUUUAACCCUUGAUUACUGAUACCCUGUCCAAGUGACGUAGGGCCCCGUAACGUAUGACAAGGCUCUGCCUAAAUUCGUUGGGGGUUCUGUCUCGUGACGUAGGGAUAAAGUUGAAUUGGGUUGCUAUACUUAAUGUGAGUGCACUAUAUAUUUUAUUAAAUAAUCCAGGAGUUGUACCCAAAAUAUAACAACCCUCCCGAAUAUUUUUCUGACACCCUACACUUCCUAAAAUACACCCCGUAUGUGAAAACCGAGCCCGAAAUACAAUAUAUUAUUAAAAAUAAUCAAAAACAAGAAAAUAUAAGUUUAGGCGGGCCGCGACAACCCUCACCCUUAGUUUACGCGGGCCGUAUUAAGGUGUAACCGGAUUCCUUUAAUUUCAUUAGUUCAGACGGGCCGCGUACGACCCCGUUUAAGUUUAUGCGGGCCGCGAGAGUCCCAAAAGGUGGCGCAGCUCUGGGCCGCCACGUGGCCCAACACAUGUCGAAGCUAGAUAGUGACCCGGAUCACCUACGCUGUUGACCAGCGUUGACGCGGGCCGCGUAGACUUUGGUCUACCCUUACGCGGGCCGCGAGAAAACCCAGGUGAAGCACUAUAUAAUCAGGCCAUCGGAUCUUCAGUUGAAUUCGCUCACAAACGUUUCUUUCUCUCAAAUUUCUAAUAGUGGGCUUAUUAUACGCGGGUAUUAUACCCCCCUAAUUAGCAAAGCUCUGCCUCGUUACUAUAACCAGGGAAUCACAAAGGAAAGCCCUAUAAUAGCAAUGUAACUUAGUGUGAAGCCAAUAAAAGCCAGCUGGAGAGCACUGAAGGCUUGGAAAAGUGGCUAUAAAGUUACCUAAAAUAAAAUAGAUGUUUUUAUUAAUAAAAAUAGGAUUUAUUCCUAUGAAAGUGUGUAUACUGAAAACUUGGGUUUUACCCAUGUGUUUAAUAUUAUGAAAAUAUGGUGGUUUUACUCUGAUAAAAAUAUUUCCUAACUACGGUCCUGAUGAAAAAUUCCGCUGCCAAAUUAGACAAUACACGAUACCACCGAAACUGGCUCACGGCCGCCCGUUCCUGAGGGGUCGGGGGUUGUGACAGAAGGUGGUAUCAGAGCUAUGCCACUGGCUCAAGCCAAAGAAGUGUUCUGCUGACACUUAAGUUUUAAAUUAUGUGUUAGGAAAUUAAUAUAACAAUUUAUGUGUUAUUCUGUAGUAUGAGUA